UUACAGGAGCUUUGCUGAAUUUUUCAUAUUUUUUGGAGAAGGUUGACUAUUUACUCUAUUUCCUUUUUAAUUAAACAUGCUUAGCAAGGAAGAUGUUUUUCGUUCUGAUUUGCACAACAAUUUAUAUUUUUCCUGCAAAUUUCACAGCAAAACAAAAUUGACCCAACUAGUUUCAUAUUUUUCUGAGCUCUGGAUCCAAACUUAUGUAAAAAGGAAGAUUUAUACCUAGAUUUCCAAUUUAAAGCCAAAACAGUGACUUACAGUGCUAGACCAGAGCCCUAACCAUUUUUCUGAGCUUCUACACAUAGAAACAAGCAUCACAGAGUUGGUUUCACAUUCUUCCCCAC
RNAcentral lists this long non-coding RNA (347 nucleotides) under Setaria viridis. Its description in RNAcentral is "long non-coding RNA (SVIR_LNC007842)". The record is from RNAcentral. Lineage: Eukaryota; Viridiplantae; Streptophyta; Magnoliopsida; Poales; Poaceae.